Molecule: ribosomal RNA, 486 nt
Filed under: uncultured bacterium
Lineage: Bacteria
Description: partial 16S ribosomal RNA
Rfam family: Bacterial small subunit ribosomal RNA
Source: RNAcentral
GACGAACGCUGGCGGCGUGCUUAACACAUGCAAGUCGAACGCUGAAGACCUGGCUUUUGUUGGGUUGGAUGAGUGGCGAACGGGUGAGUAACACGUGAGUAACCUGCCCUCUUCUUUGGGAUAACGCCCGGAAACGGGUGCUAAUACUGGAUAUUCACUGAUCUUCGCAUGGGGGUUGGUGGAAAGGUUUGUUCUGGUGGGGGAUGGGCUCGCGGCCUAUCAGCUUGUUGGUGGGGUGAUGGCCUACCAAGGCUUUGACGGGUAGCCGGCCUGAGAGGGUGACCGGUCACAUUGGGACUGAGAUACGGCCCAGACUCCUACGGGAGGCAGCAGUGGGGAAUAUUGCACAAUGGGCGAAAGCCUGAUGCAGCGACGCCGCGUGAGGGAUGGAGGCCUUCGGGGUGGAAACCUCUUUCGCUCAUGGUCAAGCCGCAACUGUGGGUUGUGGUGAGGGUAGUGGGUAAAGAAGCGCCGGCUAACUACGUG